UUUAAGCAUGAUUUCUAAUGGUAUGUACAUAAAGAAUCACAACAACCUACAUAUAUAGUUUCUACCCGAACCUGACAAUGAUAUACAAAAAUCUCUCCCUGGAUUUUAUGAAUAACCCUAUAUAUAUUUUACAAGGAUUUUUACGUUAUUACAAGCCAAUAUGAAUGAAUUACACAAAGCUAUUCAUUACACUAUAGGGAGCCUUAGCAGGCCCAACAUAAACCUGAGAGCCAAGCCUUCAGCACAACAGUCUUGAAAUAGUAGAAGGAUCCACAACACCUUAAGUCAGGCUUCCAGUGUGUCAAAAUUCACAAAGAGCCUCAAGGAUCCCGGGCAAUGCUCACACUGGAUCCAUACAUUCAACACAGGAUUCAUUAGAGAUUGGAAACCAGCUUCAAUAUAUCAGAGUUCAAAUGAGUCUCAAGGAUCAUAGGCAGUGCUCAUACUGGAGGUUGUAGGAACCUAGAUAGCUAAGAGUAGAAGUUUGAAAAUAGUAUAUGUAAGGGGGAGGGGAAAACUUUAGAAAAUAGUUUGGUUUCUUAGGAACAAAUAGGUUCAAAUUACAAGACUACAAAUUGAUCAGAGUCCAUAUUUAGUAGAUUGGUAUUAGUUCAGACAUGGAUGAUAUAUUAGAAUUAAGGCAAUCACAACAAGGGUAUAAAUACUUGAAUUACAAACAAAACUGACUACACAUAUUGGCAAUACCUAAACGUGCUAUGAAUAGAGGCAUACAACUGAAUCAAACAAGGUUUCACAUGACUGAAGUUGACUUGGUUUAUUAAUUAUCACUUUGUGAAAUCAUAUAGACAUGUAUUGAAUAGAAAAAUAUGUUGAAGUUAAAAUAACUAACCAAACAAACACAUAGAGCAGGAUGGUAUGCAUUUAAGCAUAUUAGUUCAGAAGGAAGUACACAGAAACAUGCUAAGAUAAACUAACGGUACUGGCACAUAGAACAUGAUAGGUUAACCGGAAUUAAGGCAUGAUAGUUAAGAGGGAAAUAAAUAUGUAGUGGUCUAACAUAUAGAAUAGAAUAAGAUAAGCAAGAAUUAAGGCAUACCAGUUAGGGAAGAAAGUAAACAGGAAGGUGAAGGCAGCUGGAAUCCAAGAGUUUAGCCUUGACUUUCAGCUGGUAAUGCAACAAAUCAGAGUGAUAGAAAGAACUCAAGUUGUGUGAGUGUAAGUGUGCAAGUGUAGGUGUGAGAUUGUGUAUCUCAGUGUGUGCUCGUAAGCAUAGGUGUAUCUUUUAAAAUUAAAAUGGUGAAAAGAUUAUAUAACAUACAGUAGAGUAAACAAGUAAGGUAGGAAAAUCAAGGGCACACAAAUAAGGUAUGCAAAAUCAAUUAACCAGUUAUUUAGGGCUAAACAUAAAUCAAUUAAGAGAACAGAAUCCUAAAAAUGUUACUCAAGUUAAGGGAAUCUCAUACGAAAUCAAUUAGCAGGCAUAAUUUAGGUUAAAUAUGGUAAGAAAUAAAUCCAAAGACCAUUUAUAGGCCAGUCACAAUAAUCAAAGCCCAGAAAUCAUGCUAGUAAAAUAACUAAGAAAAGUAGUACCAAUUAUGAAUCACAUAUAAGGAAAAAAUAAAUAAGAAUCAUUCGAAGAGAUAUUAGUUUUGAAAAGGAGUAAAGUUUCAAAUCCUAAUUAGGAAAGUAAACCAAUAAUCAAUUUAUUUGACAGAGCCAAAAUAAACGGGCAAAUGUUAAAGCAAGCAGUAGAAUAAUUAGAAACCCUACGGCAUAAAAACAAAGGGAUGAAAAUCAGUCAAAAAGUAAAGGAAGAAAAUCGGAUUUAAACACUUAAUCCUUCUAAAAUAUUUUACAGAAACUUAAAAAGAUGAAACCCUAAAUUCUAGAAAAAAAUAAAAAAACAGUCAACAAUAAUAAGAAAAAAAGUAGAAUCUUAAAGGAAAAGAAACAAACAAACUCAAACCGCUUCAAAUCUAAGGAGAUCUGGAGAUCUGAACGAUUUAGCCAGAAAUAGUUAGGUUAUGUAAAAAGAUAAAAAGUGGUGAGAAAAAUCUAGUUUGAACCACAGAUUUGAAGCCAUAAAUAUGAAGAUAUCAGUACUCACAAAUAUAGGAAUGAACACAGAUGGAUUCAUCGAGAAAAUGAGUGAUUUGAACCAAGUCUGUGUUGAAUCUCUUUGAGAUUUCAUCAAAUAACAUGGAAGUUGAACAACCAGUGAAGAUAGGAGGUCGGAUAAGGCCUAGAAUCGAAAAAGAAAACCACGGAUCGAAGGGAUUCUGGUGACCACGGGCUAGGGUUAGAAGGAGGGUGAGAGAGAAGAGAGGAGGAGAGGGUUUCAAGGGUGUUAGAUUUAGUAAAAUCAUUAGGUAUUGGGGUUGUUUGUUU
RNAcentral lists this long non-coding RNA (2349 nucleotides) under Nicotiana benthamiana. Its description in RNAcentral is "long non-coding RNA (NBEN_LNC035825)". Lineage: Eukaryota; Viridiplantae; Streptophyta; Magnoliopsida; Solanales; Solanaceae. The record is from RNAcentral.